GUCGAGAAUCUUUCACAAUGGGGGCAACCCUGAUGGAGCGACGCCGCGUGGAGGAUAAGGUCUUCGGAUUGUAAACUCCUGUCAUGCGUGAACAAGGUUGCUUGGUUAAUACCUGGGCAAAUUGAUGGUAACGCAAGAGGAAGAGACGGCUAACUCUGUGCCAGCAGCCGCGGUAAUACAGAGGUCUCAAGCGUUGUUCGGAAUCACUGGGCGUAAAGGGUGCGUAGGUGGCGUGGUAAGUCAGAUGUGAAAGCCCGGGGCUCAACCGAGGAACUGCAUCCGAUACGGCCAUGCUAGAGUACUGGAGAGGUGACUAGAAUUCUCGGUGUAGCAGUGAAAUGCGUAGAUAUCGAGAGGAAUACCAAAGGCGUAGGCAGGUCACUGGACAGUUACUGACACUGAGGCACGAAGGCCAGGGGAGCGAACGGGAUUAGAACCCGAGUAGUCC
Molecule: ribosomal RNA, 448 nt
Filed under: uncultured bacterium
Lineage: Bacteria
Description: partial 16S ribosomal RNA
Rfam family: Bacterial small subunit ribosomal RNA
Source: RNAcentral